AUGCGAAUAUUCUCACUGUCCUGGUUUUGUGGUAGCCAGGGCAGGCUAAACAUUCGCUAGAUUAAGACCAUGCAUGUGUCCCCAGGCUGGGUUCUUUCCCUGAGCCUGGUUUAUAAAUGCUGGUGAUUAGA
This 131-nucleotide small nucleolar RNA is filed under the name Echinops telfairi (small Madagascar hedgehog). RNAcentral describes it as "Small nucleolar RNA SNORA72 (ENSETEG00000023526.1)". It matches the Rfam family "Small nucleolar RNA SNORA72". From Rfam's summary of the family: U72 is a member of the H/ACA class of snoRNAs. The snoRNA gene is located in intron 4 of the ribosomal L30 protein gene in human, mouse and chicken. The record is from RNAcentral. Lineage: Eukaryota; Metazoa; Chordata; Mammalia; Afrosoricida; Tenrecidae.